AAAAACAAACCCUAAGUAACCCCCAUACCAGCAAGAAUACAUCUAAGUAAAUCCUCUAGCCGCUUCAAAAAACAGAGAAAGAAAACCAAUCUUUUCUCUUCAAUAUUCGACCGACCGAUGGUCUCCCAAUCGACUGCUCUCCUGCCUCUCCUUUUGACCCAUAGAGUGGUCAAUCAAGGCUUCAUUGAACCAAGAAGAUUCGUGAGUCUUGCUCACAAACCCCAAAUCGCCACUUAGUUUCCAUUGUGGCGAAACAAGCGGGGAUUCGAAGGUGUCGAAACGCAGGUGAGUUUCUCUUCUUUCUUUUGCUUUUUUUCUUUUUUUUUUCCGAUGUAAAUGAUAAAGAAAUCUAUUGAAAUAGGUAAAAGGAAAAGAGGAUUAAAAGGAGGAAAAAAAUCACCUUCUCUGAUUUUCGAUUGCUUUCUAUAUUGCGUUUUUUGUGUGCGUAAUAUCGCGUGUGUUUCAUAAAAAAAAGGAGCAAUACAUUGCUUUCGGUUUUAUAGCCGAAAUCUCAAAAAAAUCAAAAUAAAAAAUACAAUUUUCUCUUCUUUUUCUAUUUGCUACUGUGGUUUGUCUGUUUCUUCGCAGGUACGAAGUAUGGGUGGCGUGAGUACGGGGGCUGGACUGGCGUACGGAGGCGCGGGCGUGGUUGCUGGAGGGUACGGAGGCUGGGGCUGCUGGAGCAGAGGCGUUGUCCAGUUCUUGGCUGCGGCGCAAAAUCCUAGCUAGGGUUUCUGCUUUGAUUUUUUAUUUUUGGGCUGUAGGGUAUUUGGGUCUAAGUUUUGGGUUGUGUUAGGUUUGGGCUAAGUUUGGGUAUUGGGUCAUUGUAAUAACUUUGGGCUUUGGAGUGUUAUAAAACUGGACUAUUAUAAUGUUUUUAUUAUAAUAAUUUUUGGUUUUAUGCUUAUACGAGCCUGGGCUAAAUUGGCCCAUUACACCUUGUUUUGCCUUGCUCUUCAAAGAAAAUGGGAACAACUGUAUGCGUAUGGCAUUAUCAGAAAUACCAUUAAUCUUGUAUGUGUCGCAAACCUAUAGAAAGUUAGCCAAAUGAGCAUUCAGAUCUUCAUCUGGCAACCCACCAAACUGAAUAUAUUGUUGUGCCAUCUGAAUUGUGUUCAGCUUCAGCUCAAAAUUGUUUGCAACAAUAGUUGGUCUCACAAUACUCGAUUUAGCCCCAAUCAAAGUAG
Molecule: long non-coding RNA, 1187 nt
Filed under: Gossypium barbadense (sea-island cotton)
Lineage: Eukaryota; Viridiplantae; Streptophyta; Magnoliopsida; Malvales; Malvaceae
Description: long non-coding RNA (GBAR_LNC003426)
Source: RNAcentral